CGUAGGAAAAGCACUCUUGGAGUUUUUCAAUUUUUUGUCACUCUAUCUCCAAAGGCUUUUUCAACACUUUCAGUGAACAAUUUGAUUCACAGUGAAUGACCAGAAACAUUGAGUAUACUUUAUGCUAUUUCUAUAAAGGUCUCUUGAGUUCUGAGAGAUGAUUCUUCAUAUCCUUGCCCUAUCAUUUCUGAGAAAUAGUAGGAUUAAGAUUCUAGAUUUAGGAAAGGAGGAGGUGGCUCCCUGUAUACCAUGCCAUAUGGCCUCCAGAAAUGAUAUGACUUAAAGAGGGCUCUACAAACAGGAACACAUCUCUGCAGGGUAUAGAAUUGGAAUUUGGGAAGUUGAUGUGUGCAAUAUUGAUAAGCUUAUGUUUUCUCUUUGGUAGGAAUUUCUAAGUUACUAUAAGACUCUGGGGAGCCUUAGCUUACCGGGGACCCCCUGAGUGAACCAUGUGGAGCUGGGAUAGAGGCAAAAAGCAAGAGGAAUUAUAUUGUUCCAGUGCACUGGGUUCAUCCCAGACCUGAAGGAGAGGCAGUGACCACCAGCACCAUUUGGGCUAAAUACUGCAGAGAACGCUGUAAAGAGAGCAACGGUGGAGGCAGUAGCUGACCUAAGUAAGCACGGAGGCUGUUAGUGCUUUGAUCCUCUGAUCUGGUGAGCUCUUUGAUGGAUGCAGUCCACUGUGGUGAGGGUCAAACUUUGUUUCCCAGUUGCUGCUGCAGCAGGGCUUUGCCCAGCAGCCACACAGGGGUAAGAUCCAACUGAAGCUGGAGCAGAGGAGGGAAGCCAGCAGGGAGCCAGCUUGCACAGAAGCCUUCACUGUGGGCUGGGAUGCUGUGACCCAGAAGGCCGCUAAGCAGAGCUCCCCUACAGAAGCCCAAGUGACUCCACAGGCAAGGAAAAGGCUCGGCAUCUGUGAGCUGCCUCCUGAGUUUUUCUAUCGCGCUAUAGGAACAGCUGUACCAGUCUUCAGCAGCGCUGUAAACCUGUCAUCAGCACCACAUUGUUUACAUAUGGCUACAAGGUCUUUAUGCCCAGGAUCCCUUAGCUCUACAGCGGGGGACAGAUAUUUACAUGACAGCUGUGUCAAUUGGAAGCAGCCUCUGUAAGCUUGUUUGCUUCACCAAAGCAACACUCACCGCCUACCACCCCUCCCCCACCACCCCUAAGACGCGAAUCUCUGUCUUCUCCCUUUUCUAAAUGAGCAUUGUGUUAAUAAUAGAACCGCACUGCAGAUGCUCAGAAUGGAAAUAGCUGGCAUUUCCCUAACAAGACUCAUAAUUCUGCUAGAAAUAAUGGAUUUCAAGUGAAAUAGCUCGCGUCCAAGAAGAGUGGUUAUAAUUCAUGGCCAGACAUCCAAAUGGAAUCAAAAUCCGGGAAACAUGCAAAGUGCUAAUUUUCUACAUCAUUGGAAUUUAUCAAGUCCAUACUGAUUAAUUCCAACAGUGAUUUGGUUGUUCAAUCGAUAGAGCUUUGUUUGUUUCCCAAAGACAUCUGAAUGACAUUGAUUUAAAUAUUCCAACUUCCUGCUUUUCUUAAAAAAAAAAAACUUUAAAAUUGUAAAUCAAACCCCGCUGCAUCAGUGGCUGAUGCUAACUAAAUAUUUUUAUUUUUUUUCUGUAUCAUUUGAGGCAAGACUCCUAUUUAUUUCAUCAAUGUGGUAAAUAGCAAUAUUUUGGAGAGGAACUAUUUAUUUUAAUGCAGAUCUCAACGAAGUGAGGAAAAAAUUCAUUUCUAUUGCUUUGGUGUAUUUACUACUAGUUUUCCUAAGAACAUACUUCAAUGUCAUAAUAACUAUUUACAAUUAGCAUGGUUGGAAAAUAAACCACUCCUAAAAUGCUCAGGAACAGUUCAACGCCCAUAAGAUUCUUGUUGUGGGUUGGACGUAUUUUCUAAACUUAAUGUGUUGGAAACUGGAUCACAAAUGUAGCUCCAGACUUCAGAGGAGGUGUUUAUAAAGGUCGUAAGAAACCCCCUCGUGAAUAAAUUAAUACUACACUU
Mus musculus (house mouse) is the source of this 2001-nucleotide long non-coding RNA. RefSeq annotates it as predicted gene, 41673. Lineage: Eukaryota; Metazoa; Chordata; Mammalia; Rodentia; Muridae. The transcript has 2 exons. The record is from RefSeq and is a predicted model, not a curated record.